GGCAAUAAUCUAGAUAAGGUGGCACAUCUUAAAAGAGGUGCGAACUCAGUAUUAGUGCAAAGACGGUGGAAGUAAACGCCUCCGUAGCAGCUGUGUAAACAGAACGGACAGAAAGCUCACGUCAGGUGAGAGUGCACUGCUUCGCGUCAUCCACGUGAACGCAUUGGUACUGGAGUUGUAGGUCUAGUUCAUCUAGGCUGGCCCAAACACGAGGAUUGCCGUCGUCUGUUCGACCAGUCACUGUUUUUCCCAGGACCGAAUUUGUCUACUUGUAUCUAUUUUGAAUGUAACCUACGAGUGCUAUAAACAUCUGCCACCCGUAUCGUGGGCUAAUUGGGAGACUAGGGGGAAGGCCGGCUAGUGGUAGCCCUUUAACCCAAAUUGUUUUGUGUUUUGUUUGUUAUUUUGUUUAUUAUAUCUUUCUUGUGUGGCCCAUGGGCAUUUUUACAUCAUCUCUUGUGGGAACAGUAUUUGUUUUCAGUGUCUUAGUGUUUGUUUUCAGUGUUUUAGUGUUUUUUUCAUUUGCUGUUAACUACAUGGGUUUUAUUUGCACUUGUUGCUAACCAGCAUGUUCAUUGAUUAUUGUACAAUACAUGUUUAUUGAUUGCAUCAGUCCCAUUUCUGUGCCUUCAUUGGACACACCUGGAUAUAGUUUGAUAGUCUACUAGUUUAUUCAUUCUCUAAACUAUAGAUUCAAGUACCCCUGGGGGUCACACAAGGAAAAUGUUUAUGGGAUUGGGGAUUGAGAAUCUCAUUGCAACUAUUGAGGCCGUGUCAGUGAGAUACAAGCCGGAUGGUAGGCUGGCAGAAUUACUGGCAGACCUUCAGACCCAGAGAAGACAAAAAGAGGGUGAGCGUGAGCCCACCCUAUAUACAAGUAUCAGGUGAGCAGCUUUUACUUUUUGUUGUCAAUUUUAGCUUUGGAGUUUAUUUUAAUUGUUUCUUAUCUAAAUGUUGAACAUUGUGUGAACUCAGAGGAUCCACAUCAAGGUGAAGCUGCUUGGCCAGGAAAGGAAGGACUCUCCAUAGCAAGCACACCUAAGCAGCAAAAAGCAGUGAGAGCAACCAUAGACAGCACUGUGCUUCAUUUGAAGCAUAGGUUCAGCAGUCUGCUGCGGAAGUGAAAGCACAGAAAUAUAGAUUAAAAAGAAAUCUGUGAAGAUAAAAUAAGAUAUCAUUAUGACACAUUCAUCUUUCUCUUUCUUUCAGCUGUGUCUUUCUAUUCCAUGAUAGAUGAAGAGUCUACAUCAGCAACAGCAAAGGCAGUGAAGUCAUUCAACUGCUCUGAUCACAAGGUAACCCAUCAUUAUCAUAUCCUUGUUGAUUUAGCAAUUAUUACUUUUUGAUUGAAUAAAACCUGUGCUAAUGAUCCAUUCUUUGUAGAACAUCCACCUACAUCUUGUGCACAUCAUGCUGGUUCUCCCGGUCUCCUCUGCUGUAUGUGAAAGGGGAUUUUCGGCUCAGAAGAGGAUUAAAUCUGAUGUCAGGGGGUCCCUACAUGUAAACACUGUGGAGGACUUGAUUCGAAUUAGCAUGGGGGGACCUAGUGUACAAGAGUUUGAUGCCAAGGGAGCUGUACAAACAUGGUUCAGUUCGAGUCAAAGGUCUAGUAGGCAAAAUUACUUGGGCUGGCCUUCUGAGCCUCCUGGUGGAACACAGGAGGAUCUGCUCUAAGUAAAGGUACAAGUUGUUUAGGCCUACUGGUUCUUGUGGAAUGUUAUUGGCCAGUGCCCCUAAUGUUUACAUACAUUUGUUAGAAAGGUUACUAAGCAAUUUUUUAUUUUUUUUAAUCUAUGUUUUAUAUAUAUUGUACUCUAUAUGUCACUAUGUUUCAUCUUCAAAAUAAAAUGUGACACUGAAUUUGAAACAGCACAUUGUAAUUUCUGCAUCUUUUAUCAAAACAUUUAUUAGUAAUAGUUAGGGGUGCAAAGGAUCACAAAGCUCACGGUUUGGAUCGGGUCACGGUUUUUGAGUCACGGGUCGGAUAAUUUUCGGGAUCAACAACAACAAUAAAGAUAACAAGACAAAUGUGACUUUAAAUAAAAUCUUCAACUGUGUAAAAACAAAAUAAAGUGAAAAAUUAGGCAAUAAUCCUGCUUCCUUUAAGCAUGAUCAAUAUUAAAAUGUGCAAUCUGAGGCAUUAUUCCUUCUUCUUUUUAACAUGGAUAGGAUAGUAAAUAAUCCCUAACCCUGGAUUUACAAUUCAGGAUGUCUGCAUUGCCAGGGGAGAGUUUAGUGUCUACACUCUCCCAAGGCAAAGCAGACAUCCUUAUCUUCUUUUUUUUAGUUUGGUAGCGAAAUACAGUUUCUGUGGUGUUUUAUUUGGCAUUUUGUAAAUCCAUUGAUUUCGGUUGGGAGACUCAUUGCUCAUUGCAAGGGGGGUUGGUUGUAGUCUUUUCGCUCGUUUCUAGCCCUACUGUUGAUACGGCGAACCGAGCGAAAAGACUACAACCAAACCUAAACACGUCCGGUUCCGGUUCCGGUUUACGUUUCAAUGGGAUUUACGGAACGCCAAAUAAAACACAACAGAAACUGUAUUCCGCUACGAUACUUGAUGAUGUUGUUAAUACCGGAAUUGUCCUCUAAACAUGUG
Long non-coding RNA from Gadus chalcogrammus (walleye pollock), 2593 nucleotides. RefSeq lists it as uncharacterized. The record is from RefSeq and is a predicted model, not a curated record. The transcript is spliced from 3 exons. Lineage: Eukaryota; Metazoa; Chordata; Actinopteri; Gadiformes; Gadidae.